CUGGUGUUGCCAGAAAGAGGUGGGACGAACUGCUGGAGUAUGUCGCAUUGGAACUGAUGAAGCAUUUCUCUUUCACUGUGGGGGAGCUGUGUUGAACAGCAGAGCCAGAAAACAUCCUCGAGCCCAACAGUCAUAAACAGGAUUGAUGUCUGCGACCAAGACGUUUGACUUUAUCCAGCCAAGCUUGAGAAAGAUCAUUUGGCAUCAUUGGGGCUGUACAGGAGGUUUGAUGAAAUUGUAUUUCCCUUA
Molecule: long non-coding RNA, 249 nt
Organism: Austrofundulus limnaeus
Lineage: Eukaryota; Metazoa; Chordata; Actinopteri; Cyprinodontiformes; Rivulidae
Exons: 3
Source: RefSeq, a predicted model, not a curated record